Molecule: small RNA, 117 nt
Filed under: Pongo abelii (Sumatran orangutan)
Lineage: Eukaryota; Metazoa; Chordata; Mammalia; Primates; Hominidae
Description: Metazoan signal recognition particle RNA (ENSPPYG00000038132.1)
Source: Rfam by way of RNAcentral
GCCAGGCAUGGUGGCUCAUACCUGUAAUCCCAGCACCUUGGGAGGCUGAGGUGGGUGGAUCACCUGAGGUCAGGAGUUCGAGACCAGCCUGGCCAACAUGGUGAAACCCCAUCUCUA